This is a non-coding RNA of Pelobates cultripes (western spadefoot toad), 203 nucleotides long. Lineage: Eukaryota; Metazoa; Chordata; Amphibia; Anura; Pelobatidae. The record is from the annotation of a GenBank genome assembly.
AUUACAUAAAAGUUGGAUCAGCUUGUAGUGUGUUUUUCCACUUUAAUUUUGAGUGUGACUCCAAAUCCAGACCUCCAUGGGUUGAAAAAUUUGAUUUCCAUUUUUUUAUUUUUGUGUGAUUUUGUUGUCAGCACAUUCAACUAUGUAAAGAACAAAGUAUUUCAGAAGAAUAUUUAAUUCAUUCAGAUCUAGGAUGUCUUAUU